Molecule: long non-coding RNA, 7889 nt
Filed under: Homo sapiens (human)
Lineage: Eukaryota; Metazoa; Chordata; Mammalia; Primates; Hominidae
Description: HSALNT0405348
Rfam family: Myocardial infarction associated transcript exon 5 conserved region 1 (bases 4965-5113)
Source: RNAcentral
CAUCUGUCCACCCAUGUGGUUCCAGACACGUUCAUGUGGCCACCAUGACCCCGUCGGCAUCACAGGGGUAACCAAGGUGAUCCUCCCUCUCUUCCUGUGUCCACUGGGGAUGGUAGAGACCAGCUUAAUGCUUUGAGAUCAGAUCCAUCACGAAAUCCGUAUGUCCUGAGACCUCCUGAAUCUUAAGAGAGCAGCAAGUUCCUGGGACAGAGGAGACAGAAGGGAAUUUCCAGGUUCUUCAGGACGUUCACAACCACACUGAGAAGCAUCUUUGCAGAUAAGUAUUUAAACUUACCAGCCCAUAGCCUACCAGCCUGCCCUCUUCUGGUCUGUGCAGGAAAGUGUAGUAUCCUAGAAUGCCAAAGUGGGAGGGGAAAUGGGUGAUGUAGCUCAUUCUCUUUUCUACCUCUAUGGAAGAAAGAAAGAGCCUGUCCCCAUUUUGUGGGGUCCCAGAAAGGGUGAUUUUCACACUUCACAUUUGGCGUUAGGGCUAGUAUUUCACAAACAUUACCGUCUGGAACUUUUGAAGGCUGAGUUAAAUGACUUCAUCUUGUGUACUUGUAGAACUGCUAUUAGAAGGAGGCUGGGGACUCCCUGAUGAUGUGAACCAGCCCUUCUCUUCUCAGUUUCAGCACUUUGUGAUCAUAUUUAUAAACCUUGGACAGGGCUCCUUGGCCUUAGAGUUAAGUGAAGAGUUAACACUGUGACUUUAGAUGCAUUUUUCUCAGUGUAAGUGUCUGAGCUCAUCUCCAGUUCUGGACUCGUGCCCCCACUCCCGGGUGCUGACAGCAAGCUCUGAAGAUAUGCUGAGAGAGCUCCCUGACUCUCCUGACUCAGGUCUGCCAGUUGAUGAAGACAGCACAGUUGUUACCAAAAACAAAACCUGGCAGAUGGUCCUAGGUCAGGAUUAGUGGUCAUUCUCUGGUCUUCUCCAGACUGGUGACACAGGGUGGUCUUAAAAGAGUCCUAGUCCAGCCUCUGGCUCCCCGAAUUUCCUCUGGUGCAUGGGGCAUCAGGAAAGGGCAGGGGAGAAGGAGGGGGAGCAGAAAAAUAACUGAGGCUGGGCAGAAGGGUCCCUUCCAUUUCCCAUCCAUUGCUUCAAACAAUGGGUGAUUACCGUGCACCUUGAGUGAAUGUCAAGGCAGGAAGGGUUCCAGGGCCACCCAGUGUGGCAGGAGCAGAGCUGGGAUCAGAAUUCUGGAUUCCUGACUCUCCGUUCAGCUGCUAUUCAGCUAUCACCAAGCUGCUGAGUUUGUCCUACUUUCUCCUGGGUCACAUUCUGCUGUUGUUGGGAAACAGGGAGUGAGUGAAGGGAACCUGGGAACCCUUCUCCCCUCACCUUUUAAGGAUGUUCUGGGGUGGAAUAAAGAGAGGUGGAGGGUGGGGUGCCUGGGCCCAGCCUCCCUGGCUCCUGGUCCUUCUUUCUUCAGCAGGGAGUUCUGGCAAGGCCUGGGCCUGGGGAGGGGGCCUGGGUGCAGUUUUCUCCUGCGGUGUGGUUGGCUCUUUUGUCUUCCAGGAUGGGCCUGUGGGGUCUGUGUGGGGAAGGAAGGAGCUGGGAGCCUGGGCUGCCUGUGUGUCGGCUGGAUGCUGCCAGCACCGGCAUGGACCAAGCAACUUCUCUGAGCCAGAUGCUGGGGACGCAGAGGUGAACCCAGAGACAUGAUCCCAUCUGCUCAGAUCUUCAUGUCAGAACACGCUUUAUUACAGUCUCGGCAAGGGGGUGGCUCCAUCUGGGCCGCAUCUCCAGGACUCCUGGCCUGGACUUCUCUUUGGACCUCGGGUGACCUUGGAUUCUGGCCACAGUGACUUAGCGGUCAGACUCCGGUGGUUUUCUAGCCCGCUGGGUGACUCCCUGAAGAUCUCAUCCUCUUCACACCUGUUGGGAUGGAGCCUCCCAUGGAUAGGAACUCUUCCUGGUUGAUGCUCAGCAGAUGACUGAUCUGGCUCUGGAGGACAGCUCCAGGGGUAUGAGGGAGGCCUGGCAGCCCACUACUCCCUCCUCACCUGCUCGGGCCCUGCCUGCUGGGCCCUAUUGUCUGGGUCUGGGGGCCCUUUCCUGCCCCAUGUGAACUUGAUUCCUCCUCGCGUUUCUGCCGGUGACCAGACAGAGCCUGGCCUGGGCCAAGUCCCCACUGACCACACUUUCCCCAAGGCUGGGUCUCAAAGGACCCUACAGGAUGGGGACAGGAACAAGGAUGGGAGUCGGGGAGGGGCUGUCAGGCAGAGGGCAGAUGCAGCUCCUCGGGUGCCGCUGGCUGGAGUCCUUUGUCUCCAUUUGCUCAGUGCGUAAUUGUCAUUUUGUGGGGGACUUCCUUGGUGGGGCUUUUCCAUGCUUUUCCUCUCCCUGAUGGUUACAAAGAGGAGACAGUCAGGAUCUGGGAGGAGCUGGAGCCUUCCCCCUGUGCUGUUGAACUCUGGGAGGGGCAGCCAGAGGGGCUGAGAGUGCACCAUCCUGAAAAGAGAGGGUCUUUAAGAGAUAAGAUUUAGGCUAGGGAAAUUCACUAGAAAGAGACAGGUGGCCCUGGGUUUUUUUUCCUGCCAUCCAAAGGGAACCAGUCUUACCCAAAGGCUUAAGGGGUCACCUUAGCCCAGUCUCAGGACACUCUUCUCCAAUCAGAUCGCUGCUUCUAGUUGCACUGCUCCUGGAUUCUGUUCUUGGGGAACAGAAGGUGGCAGGACAGGCCCCACAAUCUGCAAUUCCAGCUCCCUCCAGAGGAGACAGUCCCAGCGUUUGCAAGAGAGCAGCUUGUGGCCUCCCUUAGGCAAGUUUAAAAGCCAGAUGUCCUUUUUCCCAGAAUGCGGAGUGGUGUGUACUAUUCAUCAGCUUGGGCUGCCACAGCACCAUGCCAGACUGGAUGGCUUAAACAUCAGGAAUUUAUUUUCUGCCAGUUCUGGAGGCUGGAAAGUCCAGAUCAAGGUGUUAAGACUUGGUUUCUGGUGAGGCCUCUCUCCUUGGCUUGCAGGUGGCACCUUCUCACUAUGUCCUCACAUGGCCUUUUCUCUGUGGAGAGGGACAGAGAGCAUGAGCAGGCUCUGGUGUCUCCUCCUCUUCUUAUAAAGACACUAAUAUCACCAUAUUAGGGCUUAAACCUAUGACCUCAUUUAACCUUAACCCCUUAAAGGUCCCAUCUCCAAAAACAGUCACAUAGCAGGCUACUGCUUCAACAUAUGCAUUUGGGGGAGGGGACACCAUUCAGUUCUUAACAGGGUGGUCACCGCAAACAUGGAAAGUCAGAGCCUUCUCCCCUUCAGAAUUCCCGCCCCCACCCAGGGAUGGGGAGGAGGAGCAGAGAGGUAUGGGAAGCAGACACGGAGAGUGGCAGGUACCAUGCUGGGGUGGCUCAGGAGUGCUUCGGAGGACAUAUGGAACUGGCAGGGCUCAGUGCAGGGAGGCGGAGGCCCUGGGAGAGCCGUGUCCUGAGAAGGGCCUGGGCUACAACCCUGGGCAAGUUACUUCACCUCUGAGCCUCCGAUGCUCUGUGAAAUGGAAGGAAUGUGCUUGCCUGUCAGGUGCAGGGAGAAUUCAGUGAGAUUGUGUGCCUAGCACAGUGCCUGACUCCCAGUAGGUGCUCAGCAAAUGCUCCCAUCCAUCUGGGAGUAUAGACUUAGGGUUUAUCUAUUUUUUUUUUUUUUUGGCUCUCUGGACUUUAAAACUCAGCAUCUUCUGAACCAGAGGCAUUUCUGAUUAGCCCUUCCCUACCUAUUUUCCUAGUAUCACUCUUUAAUCAGCUUGGGGAGGUGGCAGCAUUUCAUGGCCUCCGUAGUAACUCACAAUGCUUCCUGGGGUAUUUAAAUUCUACUCUCUCAUCAGCACUGAGCACCUACUUUGGGCCCUUUCCCGUGCUAGCCAUUUGGGGGAAAUAUAGGUGAAGAGUGGCUGGGGUUUGAACCUUUAGGAUUUCACAGCCAUGCUGGAUGGGAUAAAACCAGCUCACAUGGAGAAUCAGAGAAUGGGACAGUGCCACAAAACAGUCUACUGAGGCACAAGUUCUGAGUGCCUGGGAAGUGGUAGAGAGACCCCAGAGAGGGCUGCUGCAGUCUGGAACAGCUUCCUAGCAAGCUGUACCAAACAGGGCCUUGAAGGAUGAGAAAGAUCUGGCUGAGAUGAUACCCGACCCUCUAGGGAAAUUCUUAAAGUAACUUCUAGGAAAUGUCAUUGCUCCUUAAAAAAAAAAAAAAAAAAAAAAAAGCAGGUUCUAAUUCAAAUUCCGCUGCACUACUGAAGUAGUGCAGGACUUAUCAGAACCUUUAAAAUGCUAAUGGCAAUUUCAAAUACUCAGGGACAGGGCAUAGGAUGAAGUGUUCCUUGACUUUUAUGGCCGUAGAAUCUUUUUCUCAUGGAACAUCGUUUAGAACUGUGGGAGAUGCUAGGCUGGGGUUUCUAUGGGAAAAGUACAGCAGUGAUAGAAGAUGGCAUAAUUAGGGUACACUUAGGUGCUUUGUAGCAUUGGCUGAAAAGGAAGCAGACCGGGUGGGCGUGGGGGAGUCUCAACUUGGUUCCAGGAGCCAGGCCAGCUUGAUGCGUUUUUUUUUUUUCUAAUGGUGGGAGGGCAGGCCAAUAGUUGGAGAAACUAGAGGCCUGACAGUCGGUGAUGGAAGAGAUGUCUACUAAGCACGGUUGUCAGAUCUUUUGCGGAGAGAUGCGGGUGUGCGUGUGUCUGUCAGAGUGUAACAGGAUCCAGCCCUCUGGGAAGGGGCUGACCAGAACCAGGCAGGGGGUUUCUGUCUAGGACAAGUAGGGUCCAUUUUCAGGGGAGCUGAAAUAUUUGCAGGGGGUGCUCUGAGACCCACAGCCAAUAAAUAGGGAAGCAACAUGCUUUUGGGCAGGGUCCAUGUGGUUAGGGUUGAUUUUGAUGGGGCUGGGGGGCUUAGAGUUAGACCCCCUGCCCUGGUCAGGCCCCACUCCCUGGCUGGUGGGGGCGGGAGGCCUCUGAAGCUGCAGCUGGAGGGGCCGGGGCAGUGUUGCAUGGUGUGAUUAACCUACUAACCCAGGGCUCAGCCGGGACGCUGUGGCGUGUGACGAGGUGCCUGGCCUUCUGCCAACCAACUAACCCACUAACCAGGCCCGAGCAUGCCCUACUAACCACCCCCCCGCAGCCAGAUCCUACUAACUGUGCAGCUCAUGGGCCUUUCAAGGGGCUGGGAUAUGGGGGCAGCCAAGGCUCCAGAAGGCUCUGCCUAUGGGCUGGGAUCUUUGUGCAGACCCACGUUCCAGGACAGAGAAUGCAAAUAAGACUCACCAACUCUGCCACUUCCUGUUGAGUGAGUUUGAGUAAGUCACCUCACUUCUCUCAACCUCAGUUUCCUCAGUGGUAGAAUGCGAGUUCUGAUACCUUACAGGUUGCAGUGAGGAUUCCCGUCAAUAUAAGGGUCUCAGCACAUGGCAGACACCUAAAAAAAAAAAAAGUAUGAGGAUGGAGGAAGGCCCCUCAAACCUGGUUGAACACGUCUGCUGCCUAGGCCCUGGCCUCUCUGGGUGUUCUGCACACAGAUCCUUCUGCCUGGGGCAAGACACUUGGCUUUGAAUCCAUGUCACUUCCCCACAUUCUUCCUCCGUCUCAGCUUUCUUUUCUGUAGGCAGCUCUUUUGUUCGAUUACUAACCCGUCUAACCCCUGGGGUGCCUCAACUGCACCCCGAUCAUCCCUUAACAAACUAACGGACCUGCGUGCGUUCUUCCUUUUCUCUUAGCGACUCCUGUGUGUGUCUGCUGAGGUGCCCUGUCCGCUGGUGCUGUGCUCUGACUUACUAACCCAGCCCCUACUAACCCUGUUUUCUCUUCUUACUAACCCCAGCCCUGCCGAGCUCUGGGCUCCCCCCGGGGGCUGGUCCCCCUCCUUUUGGCAAGCAGAUGACCUGGGGCUACUGGCCCUGUAGACAGAUGUCCCACUUUGCUGCCCCAUAUUGGCUGUAAGAUCAGAGUCCACUGGGCCAGGUCUAAGGCAGGGGAUGGCCCUAUUAACAAGACUCAGAGGAGGAAGAGGUGGUCCUGUGGAUGUGGGAGGCUGGACUCUGAGUAUGACAUCUCUCCUAUGUGCAGAAGUCUGGUUGCCACUGGGAGUAGGUGGGACCAGGGAAAUCUCUGGGACGUGAGUGUGGAGGCCUGUUGGUCUAGACUCUAGACUGUGGAGCUCUGAGCUUUUGUGUCCUCUGGAAGGAAGCUGGGGAAGAAUCCUCUCCAUUGUUAAGUGACGGGGAUAGAAGCUGUCCUGCACAGGAAGUCACGAGGGGGGCGUAUCCCACGAGGAAGGCAGGAGGGGGCGUGCCCCUCACCGGAAAUUAGCAGAGGGGCGUGUCCCACACCGGAAGUCAGAAAGCGGAGCCUUUCUUACACCGGAAGUCAAUGAAGCGGGUCUUUCCUACGCUAAAAACCACUGAGUGGAGUAUUUAGUACACAGGAAGUCGGCCAGAGAAACAUUUCUCAUAUUUGAAGGCCGGAAAGAGGGACAUUUCUGACACCGGAAGUCAGUGAGAGGACUCUUUCCCACACAGGAAGUCAGCUAGAGAGCCGUCUCCCCUCUCUGGAGCCGAGAGAGGCCGGUUUCCCCCACCACUCUCAGGGUAAAGAAGGAAAUGAGAAAUUGCAAGACAGAGUAUUUCUUAGGCAAUGGCUGAGAAUGGCAACUCACCACAUGCCUUUGAAUAAGACGUGAUUAUUAUUAACCCAUAUUCUAUCAAAGAAGAAACUGAGGCUCAGAGAGGCAACUUACUUGCCAAAGGUCACUCUGCUGAUGUCCCUAAGGCAGAAAAGUGGAGUCGUUUCCUGGCUGCUGCUUGCGAAGAGUGUUACUAGUCUGCAUGGAAGUGUGUGCCACAGCGAUGCAGAAAUCGGAGGUAGCCCACCUGGGAGGAAUUUUCCAGAGAUCACUGUCUGAUGACCCUGUCUUGGAAUUGGAGCCAUGCAAGUUACACUGACCACGUUUGGGUUGGGAUAUUGAGGAGGUUAUGGUUAAAAGCAUACGAUGGGAGAUCAUAUUGUACUUGCGAGUGAGACCCGGCUGGAGGAAUGUUUUAAUUCUUCGGAAAUACCAAGUGGUCUCUACAGAACACUGAAGAUUCUGCUCUCAGGGUGUUGAUUGACGUCUGGAAGGCAGAGACUCGUGGAUUAGCAAGCAUGUGUAAGAAAGUGCUCUGGAUGCCACAGGGUGGUAAUUUGUGCAUGGAAAAUGGCUGGGGUGAAGAGGAGACUAGGCGUGUUUACCUUGGGUGUCUGUCAUUCCAUCCAAGCAAGUCCCAACUCACUCGUCCCGUACCUGAUUCCCAGACCUCUUCAGACGCAGUCAGAGAAAGCAUCUUGUCUUCAUUUUAUAGAGGAGGAAACUGAGGCAAAAGGAAACUACCCGAGUUUAUGCAUAAAGUUCGUAGUAGAACUGGAAUCAAUCGACCCAUCACCCCUUCUAUCAAUCAGUCACAUCACAGUAAUGAAUUUACUGCUACCGAACUGUGCACUUAAAUAUGGUUAAAAUAAUACAUUUUAUGUUUGUUAUAUUCUACCACAAUAAAUAAAUAUUUAGUCUCUAGGCUUCUCAGAUCCUUUCCAUGGAAUUGAAUGAGUGGACACAACAGAGUAGUGUUUUGUUUUGUUUUUUUUGAGAUGGAGUCUCGCUCUGUUGCCCAGGCUGGAGUGCAGUGGUGUGAUCUUGGCUCCCUGUAACCUCUGCCUCCAGGGUUCAAGUGCUUCUCCUGCCUCAGCCUCCCGAGUAGCUGGGAUUACAGGUGUGCACAACCACGCCCAGCUAAUUUUGGUAUUUUUAGUAGAGACGGGGUUUCUCCAUGUUGGCCAGGCUGGUCUCAAACCUCUGACCUCAGGUGAUCCACCUGUCUUGGCCUCCCAAAGUAUUGGGAUUACAGGCGUGAGCCACCACGUCCGGCCCAGAGUUGUGUUUCAAGC